RNAcentral lists this ribosomal RNA (265 nucleotides) under uncultured archaeon. Its description in RNAcentral is "partial 16S ribosomal RNA". It matches the Rfam family "Archaeal small subunit ribosomal RNA", at positions 718 to 982 of the family's 1478-position model. The record is from RNAcentral.
AGUCACUGACAUUAGAUACCCCCGUAGUCCUAGGCGUAAAUGAUGCGAGUUAAGUGUGGGGGCAUCUACGAGAUGGCCCUGUGCUGUAGGGUAGCCGUUAAGCUCGCUGCCUGGGGAGUACGGUCGCAAGGCUGAAACUUAGAGGAAUUGGCGGGGGAGCACCACAACGGGUGGAGCCUGCGGUUUAAUUGGACUCAACGCCGGGAAGCUCACCGGAUAAGACAGCGGAAUGAUUGCCGGGCUGAAGACCCUGCAUGACCAGCUG